RNAcentral lists this ribosomal RNA (441 nucleotides) under uncultured bacterium. Its description in RNAcentral is "partial 16S ribosomal RNA". It matches the Rfam family "Bacterial small subunit ribosomal RNA", at positions 338 to 795 of the family's 1533-position model. The record is from RNAcentral.
CCUACGGGGGGCAGCAGUGGGGGAUAUUGCACAAUGGGGGGAACCCUGAUGCAGCGACGCCGCGUGGGUGAAGGAGUGCUUCGGCAUGUAAAGCCCUAUCGGCAGGGAAGAAGCAAGACGGUACCUGACUAAGAAGCCCCGGCUAACUACGUGCCAGCAGCCGCGGUAAUACGCAGGGGGCGAGCGUUAUCCGGAUUCACUGGGUGUAAAGGGAGCGUAGACGGGUAUGCAAGCCAGGGGGGAAAGCCUGGGGCCCAACCCCGGAAGUGCCCUUGGAACUGGGCGGCUAGAGUGCGGGAGGGGCAGGCGGAAUUCCUGGUGUAGCGGUGAAAUGCGUAGAUAUCAGGAAGAACACCGGCGGCGAAGGCGGCCUGCUGGACCGCGACUGACGUUGAGGCUCGAAAGCGUGGGGAGCGAACAGGAUUAGAUACCCUGGUAGUC